RNAcentral lists this non-coding RNA (145 nucleotides) under Phaseolus vulgaris (common bean). RNAcentral describes it as "Bacterial large subunit ribosomal RNA". It matches the Rfam family "Bacterial large subunit ribosomal RNA", at positions 2664 to 2784 of the family's 2925-position model. The record is from Rfam by way of RNAcentral. Lineage: Eukaryota; Viridiplantae; Streptophyta; Magnoliopsida; Fabales; Fabaceae.
GAGAGGACCUUUCCCUAGUACGAGAGGACCGGGAAGGACGCAUCUUUGGUGUGCCAGUUAUCGUGUCCACGGUAAAUGCUGGGUAGCUAAGUGCGGAGCGGAUAACUGCUGAAACCUCCAUAUCUUCUUCUGCCACCUCCAUACA